Molecule: long non-coding RNA, 230 nt
Filed under: Lathyrus oleraceus (garden pea)
Lineage: Eukaryota; Viridiplantae; Streptophyta; Magnoliopsida; Fabales; Fabaceae
Description: Pisum sativum (pea) long non-coding RNA (PSAT_LNC001130)
Source: RNAcentral
UCGAAUCAGAUGAAGUUUGAUAAAGCUAAAAAAAUGUAGAGUCUUGGUUUAGAAAAAAGGAUUAAAGGAAAUGUGGAAGACGUGUUUCUAAAAUUUAUUUAAUGAAGGGUAUGAUAUCUCACCGAAAUCUAACAAACUCGACAUUAAAGAAAAGGAUCAAAACUAUUACUACUACCAUCAGAUUCGAAAACAAGAAGUAAAUAAAGUGUUGAAAAGGAUGAGUAACAAUA